GAGACUUCAGAAGCCAGAAGAGCCUGUAAAUAGGGACUUCAAGGCAUUCAUGAAAAAAAGCAUAGCAGGUGUACAGUAAUAGAGACGAAAAGAGAAAGAACUCACUACAGCCAUAGGGGUAGCUCUGGAUCAGCACCAGGGCAGGGGACAUGGGCAUGGAUGAGACAGGGGCAAAAAUACCAGAGGCGGAGGAAGUUCAAACCAGCCUCAGACUAAGUUGGGGCUGAAGCAAUGUGCAUCUUGUAAGAAAGAAGGACACUGGAAACUCCAGUGGCGCAGGGCUCAGAGCAGCAUUCGUGGCCUGGCCCACACGUUCCUUGUCUGUGUCACACCCUGGGCAGGUUUAGGAUGGCCACCAGCCGGGCCGUGUCCCAAGGAGGCCGUGCCAGCUUCUGUGCAAGGCCCCGUGCCCUUCCUGCUGCGGCUGCGUCGGCAGCCCUGGGGGCUCCUUCUGCUGCCCUGAGCCUGCAGAGCAGGGCAGCGUUUGCUGCUGGUUUGAGGCGUUCCUAAAUAUCCCGUCGGGGAUAUUUAGGAACGCCUCAAACCAGCAGCAAACGCUUGACGCAGUUCUGCCGGAGCCCAGGCUAGCUCAGAGAAACACACCAGCAGCCACGUCAGGUGUGUGGAACUACCUUGGUUUAUCAGUGCCAAAGGCAGAAGCUUUGAGCCUUGUGCUCGGGUACAAACAAACAGCCAAUGGGGAAUCCAGGAGGAAGUAGCGAAGGGAGGGCGUUCCAAUGCAGGAAGCAUCAGGGAUGAGGGGGAAUAGAGGACCGGUCAUGCAGGCCAAUGAGGCCUCGAGGCUUAGGGGGUUGACAGGGAAGGAUCCAGAACAAAGGGCAGGCUUUACAAUGAUGGACAAGGGGUAGGGGCAGGGUUGUGGUGACAGGCAGGGAAGGCUUGGGAAUAAGGAGCUGGCUUUACAAUGAAGGGCAGAUCAGGGGAGGAUACAACUCCUAGGGGCAAACCAACUUUGGAUGAACAGGGGGGAGCAGAAGAGUGAACCAUAGAACUGACAAACUUCCAACAACAACUAAACUUAAACAAUUGCCGCAACACUGUCUUUGACACUUUGGGCAAGAGAUUCCUUCCAAUCGAGGCCACUUUGAGGGGGGAUAGGGGAUGGGGGGAGAACUAGGGCACGUGGCAGUGUUUGCAAGGGCCCUUUGUGACAUGGUCAGCGUGGGAUGGAAAGGGACAGGGUGUCAGAGGGCCCUUUGUGACACGUGGUGACAGAGGAGCUGGCCACAGCGACAGGUCCACGCCACAGUGCUCGGUGCACGCGACGGGACAGGACGCGCCAGAGCGGUGCUGUGAGGAGCCCCCGCACAGCGCACUCGUUUGUGUCUGACCCGGAGCUUCUCUGAGCCGUCAUUCUUGCAGGUGACCUCGAGGCCAGACCACAGGACUUGGUGACCUGUGGCCUUGCCGAGGCUUCUUUUCUUAAGGUGCCCUCGAGGGCAGACUGUGGGACCUGGUGAGCCGGUGCUUUUCCGAGGCAUCGCCCAUCCCUGCAGUCACUGCCCUUGAGACCAGGGCACAAUCCUUGACGAGGAGCCUCCUGUCCUUGUGGCAGGAGCCCUCAAGACCCGAGUGCAGGACUUGCUGUUCUGCAGUCUUGCCGGGACUUGAGUCUUGCAGGUGCCUUCCAGGCACGACUGCAGGACUUGCUGCCUCAGAGCUUUUCUGAGGCAUCUCUAUUGCAAGUACCAUAAAUCCAGGCACUGCCAUGGAGCAGCGACCUCCAAGAAUUCCCAAGCUGGCCUGGGUGGAGGAGGAGGAGAAGGAGGAAGAAGAAGGCCCUGGAGCUGCCCCAGAUGUAGAGACGGAAGAGGUGCAGGAGUUCCAGCCGCUGGAGGAGGGAUGGGAGAGUGUUGGAGAUCUGG
This is a non-coding RNA of Cyanistes caeruleus (blue tit), 1886 nucleotides long. NCBI's taxonomy places the organism in Eukaryota, Metazoa, Chordata, Aves, Passeriformes, Paridae. The record is from RefSeq and is a predicted model, not a curated record.